UUAUAUUAGCUUUGAUAGACAAGCCUGGCUGUUACAUUAAUAAUCAGGCACAUGCUUUGUUCUGCAGGUCUAGCAAUAAGGUGGUUAAAAGUACAGCUUGCUUAGAUAUUUUGAGUUUUUGGACAGUAUCGCCAACUUAGGGUGAGUCUGGACCCUGGCUCCUAAGAAUCCACAAGCAAAUUUCCUGUUGCUGUUGGUUUUUAUAAAUCCUCUUUCUCUCUCUUUCUCACCAGAGUUUACUCUCAGAAUAAAGCAAUCUUUUCCUUAUCCCUGUCAAGCUGUUAUUGGCUCUCAGCUAGACGGACCCAAUAUUUCAGUAACAGUUUCUGGCGACCCAGAUGGGACACUCCUAGCUCGGACAUUGGACUCCGGAUGACUGCGGCAAACUGGGAACGGCGCCAAUGGGGUGUUUAGCCCCUCUUUCUCUGCUUCACCGCGGCCCCUGGGGUUCGUGCUCCAAUAAAGGGCUGCCCUUUCUACUGUUACUGCCAAGCCAAGCUGUUAUCAGCUCUCAGCUAAACAAGCCCAAUAUUUCAGUAACAGUACCAACAAGGAAAUGUAACAGCACACUAAACUCAGGACCGGACCGGAAAGAGUAGAGCCCUCCGGCAGAUCCGAAGGGACUUCAGGGACUCUUGUCACCUCGCGGCCAGCCUCAGUCACCUCAAAAUCGAAAGCAAUCAACACCCACACCUGCAGCCUGCCGGCAUGAAUGUGUUGUAUGCGGUCUUCCUGCUGACAUAGUCCAUCAAUAUGAUAAACAGCACCAGACUUUGGGCCAACCCUUGGCCAACCCAAUCUAACUUUCACUUCAAAGAGACUUGUUCCAAAACAUGUUUGAAUCACUAUUUUACAAGAUCUAUGGAGAAUUCACCAUAAUUAUUAAAUCCUCAGACACUCCAUAUUUCCUCAGCAUUGGUGUGAGCAUCUUUCUGUCCAUUUUAUCAUAUGCCUUUUCUAGGUCUAUAAAAAGCCCAAACCUAGAUACUCUAGCUGCUUCUCUAUCUCAUGCUGAAUUACAAACACGGCAUCUGUGAUUCCCCAUCCUUUUCUAAACUGAAGUGUUCUUGUUCAAGAAGAAUAUUAAAUCCUGAAGAAGUGUUGGUGAGAUGGAAUUUCCUUCCACAGGUGUAGGGACAAUAAUGCAGAUGUGAGCCCAAUCUGGCCCUGAUCCAUUGUAAUGGUGUAGAUGGAUAUAAACAUUCAGUGCUUCACAUGAAAAAUUUCUUCAUAGAUGACUGAUGCACUU
Molecule: long non-coding RNA, 1249 nt
Organism: Mauremys mutica (yellowpond turtle)
Lineage: Eukaryota; Metazoa; Chordata; Testudines; Geoemydidae
Exons: 4
Source: RefSeq, a predicted model, not a curated record